RNAcentral lists this small RNA (547 nucleotides) under Lodderomyces parapsilosis. Its description in RNAcentral is "eukaryotic LSU rRNA". The stretch from base 206 to 359 matches the Rfam family "5.8S ribosomal RNA". The record is from RNAcentral. Lineage: Eukaryota; Fungi; Ascomycota; Pichiomycetes; Serinales; Debaryomycetaceae.
UGGAAGGUAAAGUCGUAACAAGGUUUCCGUAGGUGAACCUGCGGAAGGAUCAUUACAGAAUGAAAAGUGCUUAACUGCAUUUUUUCUUACACAUGUGUUUUUCUUUUUUUGAAAACUUUGCUUUGGUAGGCCUUCUAUAUGGGGCCUGCCAGAGAUUAAACUCAACCAAAUUUUAUUUAAUGUCAACCGAUUAUUUAAUAGUCAAAACUUUCAACAACGGAUCUCUUGGUUCUCGCAUCGAUGAAGAACGCAGCGAAAUGCGAUAAGUAAUAUGAAUUGCAGAUAUUCGUGAAUCAUCGAAUCUUUGAACGCACAUUGCGCCCUUUGGUAUUCCAAAGGGCAUGCCUGUUUGAGCGUCAUUUCUCCCUCAAACCCUCGGGUUUGGUGUUGAGCGAUACGCUGGGUUUGCUUGAAAGAAAGGCGGAGUAUAAACUAAUGGAUAGGUUUUUUCCACUCAUUGGUACAAACUCCAAAACUUCUUCCAAAUUCGACCUCAAAUCAGGUAGGACUACCCGCUGAACUUAAGCAUAUCAAUAGCCGGGGGGGA